CGGGUGCACCAGGCGCGAAAACUUUACAAUGCCGGCAACGGCGAUAAGGGAACCUCGAGUGCCAGGUUACAAAUCUGGCUGUCGUGAUGCCUAAAAAGCAUUGCAUAGCAAGGGCCGGGCAAGACCGGUGCCAGCCGCCGCGGUAACACCGGCGGCUCGAGUGGUAACCGUUAUUAUUGGGUCUAAAGGGUCUGUAGCCGGCCGGGUAAGUCUCUUGGGAAAUCUGGCAGCUUAACUGUCAGGCUUUCAGGAGAUACUGCCUGGCUCGAGGCCGGGAGAGGUGAGAGGUACUUCAGGGGUAGGGGUGAAAUCUUGUAAUCCUUGAAGGACCACCAGUGGCGAAGGCGUCUCACCAGAACGGACCUGACGGCAAGGGACGAAAGCUAGGGGCACGAACCGGAUUAGAUACCCGGGUAGUCCUAGCCGUAAACGAUACUCGCUAGGCGUCGGCCACGGUGCGACCGUGGUCGGUGCCGUAGGGAAGCCGUGAAGCGAGCCACCUGGGAAGUACGGCCGCAAGGCUGAAACUUAAAGGAAUCGGCGGGGGAGCAC
This 552-nucleotide ribosomal RNA is filed under the name uncultured archaeon. Its description in RNAcentral is "bacterial SSU rRNA". It matches the Rfam family "Archaeal small subunit ribosomal RNA", at positions 327 to 879 of the family's 1478-position model. The record is from RNAcentral.